CAGUAGCCGCGGGAAUACAGAGGUCUCAAGCGUUGUUCGGAUUCAUUGGGCGUAAAGGGUGCGUAGGUGGCUUGGUAAGUUGAAGGUGAAAUCUCGGGGCUUAACUCCGAAACUGCCUUCAAUACUGCUGAGCUCGAGGAUUGUAGAGGAGAAUGGAAUUCACGGUGUAGCAGUGAAAUGCGUAGAUAUCGUGAGGAAGACCAGUGGCGAAGGCGAUUCUCUGGGCAAUUCCUGACACUGAGGUACGAAGGCCAGGGGAGCAAACGGGAUUAGAUACCCCGGUAGUCCCUGUCUCUUAUAC
RNAcentral lists this ribosomal RNA (301 nucleotides) under uncultured bacterium. Its description in RNAcentral is "partial 16S ribosomal RNA". It matches the Rfam family "Bacterial small subunit ribosomal RNA", at positions 509 to 807 of the family's 1533-position model. The record is from RNAcentral.